This is a non-coding RNA of Pseudonaja textilis, 460 nucleotides long. The record is from RefSeq and is a predicted model, not a curated record. Lineage: Eukaryota; Metazoa; Chordata; Lepidosauria; Squamata; Elapidae.
GUCUCUCUCUCUCUCUCUGUCUCUCUCUCUCUCUCUCUCUCUGUCUCUCUGUUCUCUCUCUCUCUCUCUCUGGAAAACUGCAACCUUUGCAAAGGGGUUUAAAGAGGACAACGGGGCACUUCUGGCUCGGGACAUGAAGCACAGGCUCUGCCUCUUCCCUCCCCACCCCCCCCAAAAACGCGGGGGCUUGGCACCCGCCACAGAGUGCUGGCGAAACCUUUGGAAAGGCUCUGGAAUGUCUUCUCUUGCCUGGUCGAACCCUCCCCGGGGGGCCUGGUCGAAUCUCCGGAGGUGACGAAGGAGUCGGAGGAGGGUUGGUUGGGGUUUUUUUGGGGGGGUUUUGGUUUCCCGCUCUUCAUGGCUUCCUGCAGAUUCUUACGUUAAGUGCAAUUCCCCUUGUAAAUAAACUCCCCUUGGAUUUCGUGCAUGGUUAUUCUGUAUUGUGGAUAUAUAAAGAUUG